CAAAACGUAGCUUAACUAAAGCAUCUUGCUUACACCAAAAUCAUAUCUGUUAAACCCAGAUCGUUUUGA
Molecule: transfer RNA, 69 nt
Filed under: Scinax sp. KAV12
Lineage: Eukaryota; Metazoa; Chordata; Amphibia; Anura; Hylidae
Description: tRNA-Val
Source: RNAcentral